CCUACGGGUGGCAGCAGUGAGGAAUAUUGGUCAAUGGCCGGAAGGCUGAACCAGCCAAGCCGCGUGAGGGAGGAAGGCGCAGAGCGUCGCAGACCUCUUUUGCCGGGGGACAAAAGGCCGGACGGGUCCGGUUCUGAGGGUACCCGGAGAAUAAGCAUCGGCUAACUCCGUGCCAGCAGCCGCGGUAAUACGGAGGAUGCGAGCGUUAUCCGGAUUCAUUGGGUUUAAAGGGUGCGCAGGCGGGCCUUUAAGCCGGCGGUGAAAUCGCGGGGCUCAACCCCGCCGAGCCGUUGGAACUGGGAGCCUUGAGUGCGGUGGAGGCAGGCGGAAUGCGUGGUGUAGCGGUGAAAUGCAUAGAUAUCGCGAAGAACCCCGAUUGCGAAGGCAGCGUGCCGGGCCGCCACUGACGCUGAGGCACGAAAGCGCGGGGAUCGAACAGGAUUAGAUACCCUGGUAGUC
RNAcentral lists this ribosomal RNA (459 nucleotides) under uncultured bacterium. RNAcentral describes it as "partial 16S ribosomal RNA". It matches the Rfam family "Bacterial small subunit ribosomal RNA", at positions 338 to 795 of the family's 1533-position model. The record is from RNAcentral.